This 449-nucleotide ribosomal RNA is filed under the name uncultured bacterium. RNAcentral describes it as "partial 16S ribosomal RNA". It matches the Rfam family "Bacterial small subunit ribosomal RNA", at positions 28 to 523 of the family's 1533-position model. The record is from RNAcentral.
GAUGAACGCUGGCGGCAGGCCUAAUACAUGCAAGUCGAGCGAGGUUUUCGGACCCAGCGGCGGACGGGUGAGUAACGCGUGGGAACGUGCCCUUUGCUACGGAAUAGCCCCGGGAAACUGGGAGUAAUACCGUAUGAGCCCUACGGGGGAAAGAUUUAUCGGCAAAGGAUCGGCCCGCGUUGGAUUAGGUAGUUGGUGGGGUAAUGGCCUACCAAGCCGACGAUCCAUAGCUGGUUUGAGAGGAUGAUCAGCCACACUGGGACUGAGACACGGCCCAGACUCCUACGGGAGGCAGCAGUGGGGAAUCUUAGACAAUGGGGGAAACCCUGAUCUAGCCAUGCCGCGUGAGCGAUGAAGGCCUUAGGGUUGUAAAGCUCUUUCAGCUGGGAAGAUAAUGACGGUACCAGCAGAAGAAGCCCCGGCUAACUCCGUGCCAGCCGCCGCCGUAA